Molecule: ribosomal RNA, 839 nt
Filed under: uncultured marine group I thaumarchaeote
Lineage: Archaea; Thermoproteati; Nitrososphaerota
Description: bacterial SSU rRNA
Rfam family: Archaeal small subunit ribosomal RNA
Source: RNAcentral
UUCCGGUUGAUCCUGCCGGACCUGACUGCUAUCGGAUUGAUACUAAGCCAUGCGAGUCUUUGUAGUAAUACAAGGCAGACGGCUCAGUAACACGUAGUCAACCUACCCUAUGGACAAGAAUAAUCUCGGGAAACUGGGCAUAAUUCUUGAUAGAUCAUAAUGCCUGGAAUGGUUUAUGGUUAAAAUGAUUCGUCGCCAUAGGAUGGGACUGCGGCCUAUCAGCUUGUUGGUGAGGUAAUGGCCCACCAAGGCGAUUACAGGUACGGGCUCUGAGAGGAGAAGCCCGGAGAUGGGUACUGAGACACGGACCCAGGCCCUAUGGGGCGCAGCAGGCGAGAAAACUUUGCAAUGUGCGAAAGCACGACAAGGUUAAUCCGAGUGAUUUCUGCUAAGGAAAUCUUUUGUUAGUCCUAGAAACACUAACGAAUAAGGGGUGGGCAAGUUCUGGUGUCAGCCGCCGCGGUAAAACCAGCACCUCAAGUGGUCAGGAUGAUUAUUGGGCCUAAAGCAUCCGUAGCCGGCUCUGUAAGUUUUCGGUUAAAUCCAUGUGCUCAACGCAUGGGCUGUCGAAAAUACUGCAUAGCUAGGGAGUGGGAGAGGUAGACGGUACUCGGUAGGAAGGGGUAAAAUCCUUUGAUCUAUCGAUGACCACCUGUGGCGAAGGCGGUCUACCAGAACACGUUCGACGGUGAGGGAUGAAAGCUGGGGGAGCAAACCGGAUUAGAUACCCGGGUAGUCCCAGCUGUAAACGAUGCAGACUCGAUGAUGCAUUGGCAUAUAGCCAGUGCAGUGUCGCAGGGAAGCCGUUAAGUCUGCCGCCUGGGAAGUACGUACGCAAG